AAAAAAAGCCGGAAUAGCUUCAG
RNAcentral lists this transfer RNA (23 nucleotides) under Anomodon minor. RNAcentral's name for it is "partial tRNA-Phe". RNAcentral also lists the same sequence under 1 other name. Lineage: Eukaryota; Viridiplantae; Streptophyta; Bryopsida; Hypnales; Anomodontaceae. The record is from RNAcentral.